This 425-nucleotide ribosomal RNA is filed under the name uncultured bacterium. RNAcentral describes it as "bacterial SSU rRNA". It matches the Rfam family "Bacterial small subunit ribosomal RNA", at positions 382 to 793 of the family's 1533-position model. The record is from RNAcentral.
CCUGAUGGAGCAACACCGCGUGAGUGAAGAAGGGUUUCGGACGUCGUAAAGACUCUGUUGUUUAAAGAAGAACACGUAUGAGAGUAACUGUUCAUACGUUGACGGUAUUUAACCAGAAAGUCACGGCUAACUACGUGCCAGCAGCCGCGGUAAUACGUAGGUGGCAAGCGUUAUCCGGAGUUUAUUGGGCGUAAAGAGAGUGCAGGCGGUUUUCUAAGUCUGAUGUGAAAGCCUUCGGCUUAACCGGAGAAGUGCAUCGGAAACUGGAUAACUUGAGUGCAGAAGAGGGUAGUGGAACUCCAUGUGUAGCGGUGGAAUGCGUAGAUAUAUGGAAGAACACCAGUGGCGAAGGCGGCUACCUGGUCUGCAACUGACGCUGAGACUCGAAAGCAUGGGUAGCGAACAGGAUUAGAUACCCCUGGUAG